This is a non-coding RNA of Phrynosoma platyrhinos (Desert horned lizard), 72 nucleotides long. NCBI's taxonomy places the organism in Eukaryota, Metazoa, Chordata, Lepidosauria, Squamata, Phrynosomatidae. The record is from the annotation of a GenBank genome assembly.
GUCAGUGUGAUGUAGUGGUUUGAGCAAUGGACAAUGACUCUGGAGACCAGGGUUCAAAUCCCUGCUCAGUCA